GACGAACGCUGGCGGCGUGCCUAAUACAUGCAAGUCGAGCGAAGUUUUUCUGGUGCUUGCACCGGAAAAACUUAGCGGCGAACGGGUGAGUAACACGUAAAGAACCUGCCUUAUAGACUGGGACAACUAUUGGAAACGAUAGCUAAUACCGGAUAACAGCAUUAACUGCAUGGUUGAUGUUUGAAAGUUGGUUUUGCUAACACUAUGAGAUGGCUUUGCGGUGCAUUAGCUAGUUGGUGGGGUAAAGGCCUACCAAGGCGACGAUGCAUAGCCGACCUGAGAGGGUGAUUGGCCACACUGGGACUGAGACACGGCCCAGACUCCUACGGGAGGCAGCAGUAGGGAAUCUUCCGCAAUGGGCGAAAGCCUGACGGAGCAACGCCGCGUGAGUGAAGAAGGAUUUCGGUUCGUAAAGCUCUGUUGUUAGGGAAGAAUGAUUGUGUAGUAACUAUACACAGUAGAGACGGUACCUAACCAGAAAGCCACGGCUAACUACGUG
RNAcentral lists this ribosomal RNA (499 nucleotides) under uncultured bacterium. RNAcentral describes it as "partial 16S ribosomal RNA". It matches the Rfam family "Bacterial small subunit ribosomal RNA", at positions 28 to 507 of the family's 1533-position model. The record is from RNAcentral.